UGGGGAAUUUUGGACAAUGGGCGCAAGCCUGAUCCAGCCAUGCCGCGUGCGGGAAGAAGGCCUUCGGGUUGUAAACCGCUUUUGUCAGGGAAGAAAUCUUCUGAGUUAAUACCUCGGGAGGAUGACGGUACCUGAAGAAUAAGCACCGGCUAACUACGUGCCAGCAGCCGCGGUAAUACGUAGGGUGCAAGCGUUAAUCGGAAUUACUGGGCGUAAAGCGUGCGCAGGCGGUUUUGUAAGACAGAGGUGAAAUCCCCGGGCUCAACCUGGGAACUGCCUUUGUGACUGCAAGGCUUGAGUGCGGCAGAGGGGGAUGGAAUUCCGCGUGUAGCAGUGAAAUGCGUAGAUAUGCGGAGGAACACCGAUGGCGAAGGCAAUCCCCUGGGCCUGCACUGACGCUCAUGCACGAAAGCGUGGGGAGCAAACAGGAUUAGAUAGCCCUGGUAGUCCACGCCCUAAACGAUGUCAACUGGUUGUUGGGAAGGUUCCUUCUCAGUAACGUAGCUAACGCGUGAAGUUGACCGCCUGGGGAGUACGGCCGCAAGGUUGAAAACUC
Molecule: ribosomal RNA, 556 nt
Filed under: uncultured bacterium
Lineage: Bacteria
Description: partial 16S ribosomal RNA
Rfam family: Bacterial small subunit ribosomal RNA
Source: RNAcentral